Molecule: long non-coding RNA, 132 nt
Organism: Diprion similis
Lineage: Eukaryota; Metazoa; Arthropoda; Insecta; Hymenoptera; Diprionidae
Exons: 3
Source: RefSeq, a predicted model, not a curated record
AAUAAUCGACAAUCGCGUCGGUCGCCGUGCGUCACGACCCGCGUACUUAUCAGGAGGACGGUGACCAGGUACUCGCGACUCGCGCUCCGGAGCAGCGGUACCGACUAAUGGCUCUUCAGAUCAGCCAAACGU